Molecule: ribosomal RNA, 253 nt
Filed under: uncultured bacterium
Lineage: Bacteria
Description: partial 16S ribosomal RNA
Rfam family: Bacterial small subunit ribosomal RNA
Source: RNAcentral
UACGUAGGUGGCAAGCGUUAUCCGGAAUUAUUGGGCGUAAAGAGCGCGCAGGUGGUUAAUUAAGUCUGAUGUGAAAGCCCACGGCUUAACCGUGGAGGGUCAUUGGAAACUGGUUGACUUGAGUGCAGAAGAGGGAAGUGGAAUUCCAUGUGUAGCGGUGGAAUGCGUAGAGAUAUGGAGGAACACCAGUGGCGAAGGCGGCUUCCUGGUCUGCAACUGACACUGAGGCGCGAAAGCGUGGGGAGCAAACAGG